UGAGGAGUACAAGCAUGAUCAGGUUUUAGGAGGAAGAUUCUGUAAAAGUACAAAACACUGUCCCAUUUGUAGGAUAAAUCCCCCUUGCCUUCUGAAAGCUAAACAUAAUUGAUUCCAAGGGCAACAAUUCUCCAAUCAAAUUCAGCGGGAGCUACCUCUACCACCCAGUAAAUAAAGAAGACCAUUUACAUCUGUCCUCUGAUGCUUUGGAUCAGCCAAGCAGUUCCACCUUCAUAAUUCUCAUAGCUGAAGAAUUGACCCAUUGAAAUGUUUGGGACCAAUUAGACUGUAUCUCAAGCCAGAACUACUGGCACUUUGUGCAUUCCCAUAAAUUGUUUCAGUGUAAGUUUUUCAGUCUGACAUUUCCUUUAAAUUCAGUACAAUUUUGUGACAUACUGUACAGACCUGGAGAAGUAAAACUUCUUUGGACUUUGAA
Molecule: long non-coding RNA, 436 nt
Organism: Chelonia mydas (Green sea turtle)
Lineage: Eukaryota; Metazoa; Chordata; Testudines; Cheloniidae
Exons: 2
Source: RefSeq, a predicted model, not a curated record